AAAACGACUCUCGGCAACGGAUAUCUCGGCUCUCGCAUCGAUGAAGAACGUAGCGAAAUGCGAUACUUGGUGUGAAUUGCAGAAUCCCGUGAACCAUCGAGUCUUUGAACGCAAGUUGCGCCCGAAGCCKUCKGGCCGAGGGCACGCCUGCCUGGGCGUCACACGCC
Molecule: ribosomal RNA, 167 nt
Filed under: Spiraea insularis
Lineage: Eukaryota; Viridiplantae; Streptophyta; Magnoliopsida; Rosales; Rosaceae
Description: 5.8S ribosomal RNA
Rfam family: 5.8S ribosomal RNA
About the family: 5.8S ribosomal RNA (5.8S rRNA) is a component of the large subunit of the eukaryotic ribosome. It is transcribed by RNA polymerase I as part of the 45S precursor that also contains 18S and 28S rRNA.
Source: RNAcentral